AAACCAUGCAUCGGACAUUUCUUAAGUAAUUCCUUGAAUCGCUUCCAAGCUUCAUAUAGUGUUUCAUCCUCUAAUUUCUGAAAAUAUGUGAUGUCAUUCCUAAACUU
Gossypium raimondii (Peruvian cotton) is the source of this 107-nucleotide small nucleolar RNA. It matches the Rfam family "Plant small nucleolar RNA R71". Rfam says of the family: R71 is a member of the C/D box family of snoRNAs containing the C (UGAUGA) and D (CUGA) box motifs. Multiple nearly identical copies of this snoRNA have been identified in Arabidopsis, and it is thought to function as a 2'-O-ribose methylation guide for 18S ribosomal RNA. The record is from Rfam. Lineage: Eukaryota; Viridiplantae; Streptophyta; Magnoliopsida; Malvales; Malvaceae.